AUGUUGUUGGUUGCAUAUUUAAGCUCUGUUUCCUAAUUUUUUCUUUGUUUCAGAAACCUAAUUUGGUUGAGUAGUCACCUCUCCUCAACACAGAUCAAAUUCUUGCUUGGGAACUGACACCAGCCUAACUCCUGCAGAGAUCUUGGUAAACUGAACUGCCUCACCCACCUAAUUCCUGGUUGGAAAAUGCUGUGAAGUUUGAUAGAGAAGCUAGCAAGACUGAGUUGGAGAAGAGGAAAGCAUUAGCACUCAUAGUGCUCAAAGUCAUCUGCUCUAGUUCACCCGAGAGUCUACAGUCUUCCAGCAAAACAACCUGCAAGCCAGAUAAUCAAUGGUACUAAUAAUUCCAGUACCCCAUAAAACUUAAGAUAAUUCCACAGUUUUAUGUUGGCUUAGGAGAGAAGAACUUAAAGGAGAGAGCUAUAUUUUGAUUAGUGGCACAAGU
This 445-nucleotide long non-coding RNA is filed under the name Fukomys damarensis (Damara mole-rat). Its description in RNAcentral is "lncRNA (ENSFDAG00000029116.1)". Lineage: Eukaryota; Metazoa; Chordata; Mammalia; Rodentia; Bathyergidae. The record is from RNAcentral.